This 71-nucleotide transfer RNA is filed under the name Ixodes scapularis (black-legged tick). It matches the Rfam family "tRNA". From Rfam's summary of the family: Transfer RNA (tRNA) molecules are approximately 80 nucleotides in length. Lineage: Eukaryota; Metazoa; Arthropoda; Arachnida; Ixodida; Ixodidae. The record is from Rfam by way of RNAcentral.
GCCACUACAGCUCAUUGGUAGGACACUAGUCUCGUAACCAGGUGUCGUGAGUUUAAUUCUCACUGGUGGCU